Molecule: small nuclear RNA, 96 nt
Organism: Myotis lucifugus (little brown bat)
Lineage: Eukaryota; Metazoa; Chordata; Mammalia; Chiroptera; Vespertilionidae
Source: Ensembl
GUGCUUUGGCAGCACAUGCACUAACAUUGGAACGAUACAUAGAAGAUUAGCAUGGCCCGUGUGCAAGGAUAAAUUUUUGAAGCAAUCAUAUUUUAA